Molecule: ribosomal RNA, 253 nt
Filed under: uncultured bacterium
Lineage: Bacteria
Description: partial 16S ribosomal RNA
Rfam family: Bacterial small subunit ribosomal RNA
Source: RNAcentral
UACGGGGGGAGCAAGCGUUGUUCGGAUUUACUGGGCGUAAAGGGUGCGUAGGUGGGCAAGUAAGUCAGUGGUGAAAUCUCCGGGCUUAACCCGGAAACUGCCAUUGAUACUAUUUGUCUUGAAUACUGUGGAGGUCAGCGGAAUAUGUCAUGUAGCGGUGAAAUGCUUAGAUAUGACAUAGAACACCAAUUGCGAAGGCAGCUGGCUACACAAAUAUUGACACUGAGGCACGAAAGCGUGGGGAUCAAACAGG